RNA transcript from Scylla paramamosain (green mud crab), 2736 nucleotides. RefSeq lists it as uncharacterized. The record is from RefSeq and is a predicted model, not a curated record. NCBI's taxonomy places the organism in Eukaryota, Metazoa, Arthropoda, Malacostraca, Decapoda, Portunidae. The transcript has 8 exons.
GCGUGGCAUAACAGAAUAUCAUCAGCGCACGACAAACUGGAAGCGGGUGUGUACUUGUGUGUGUGUGGCGAGGACUGGCGUUACUCGACCUUUAUCACUGAUCUGUGAAAGCUUUGCGGAGUUCUUCGGCUGCUCAGGAAGGAGCCUCCCAGAUACAUAAAUACUUGCUCAGUUCAGUCUCGUCACUCAGAACGGAGGCAGAACUAUAAAUAUAAGAAGAUCAAGUAAAUUUAUGGAUGGGUAUCAUAAAUGAAUUCAGGUCCCCUGCGUCACGUGGGUCGGGACGGUGAGAAGCUACGUCGUAAGAUUCACUCCUGAUACGUGAGAAGACACCGUGCCGUGGACUAGGGGCCUUCUCUUGAGUACAACACGCCCGCCGCUGCUUCCUUUAUCUCCGAACUGAAAGACGCGUACAUGCCUCUCUCAUUCUCCCUGACGUAAUGAUGCACCGGGCAGGGACAUCGUGAAUGGCUGCCUCGCUCCACCGCCAGCCUCUGAGAUUUACUCGGAAGCGCCACGUAUUUGGGUGUUUCGCCCCUCUCAGAGGACUCGGAGAAGGAAGGAACAAAGCUCUGCAGGUUUCAUUUCAGCAGAAGUAAAGGUCAGCUCUCUCACCUGAUAGAUUCCAGGUGGACUAGCACGCCAUUUAAAUGCGAAUCUGGAGGGAGUGGGAGUGCAGCGAUUGCGAAUAAAUGUGCUGAAAUAUGUUAUGUUCGAAUUUGCAGUUGUAUAAAUGAUAAGUGUGUUGUAAAAUGUCCUUAUACAAUCAUAUUUGCUAAACAUUUCAUCAGUGAUGUCAUUGUUUGCACACAGAUUUUUUUUAUUGUACUUGGUAAUUUGCAAUGAGGUUAAAUACACACCUGCAUCUCCAUGAAUUCAGCUUUCUAUAUCAUAAAAAAAUACAUAUAUAAUCCUUUCACCAUGAUCCGACGCCUACUCAUAAAAGGAAAGCUACCAGUAAGGGGGAGGCCAUGGCAGACGUGCCCAACAUUAUCACUGGGCAUGUGGCACGUGUCGGACUAUGAAGGACAGAUGAGCAUGGGCAGCCCCCCAGCAUAGCACCAUCCUCACCAGUGGAAAUGUACUUACAAGAAAAGACAGAAAUGGGUGUGAGAAGUAAAAGAUCCCAACCCUCAUCUUGACAAGGCGUCAGCCCAUCAUUACAGCGUUAAAAUAGCUUAUAAAUAUAAUAUUAGCUAUUUAAGGUAGUCGCCUCCUGUCUAUCCCGUAAAAAAGACUUACAGACAUUAGGUGAUGGCGCUACCAGCAAUCGUGAAUAAAUAAAUAUAUCAGUUUCCCAUAAUAUCCGGUGCAGUCCCACUUUCCCUUACUUUGUAUCCUCCGUUUUCUGAGUUCCUCCCACUGCAGGUGACGUCGUGUAGCUGACGUCAAGAUGUGUGCAUUGGGGGACCUGAUAAACCUACUGGUCUUGUGUUAAUGCAGUUAUGUUGAAGGACUAGAGAGAGAGAUCCUGAUGUAGGAUAUGAAGUGAAUUUCGAAACAUAACGUAACACUUGUAUGCAACUUCGAUAUUUGUUUCUGACAUGAAGGCCAAGGUUGGCGAUGCGUAGCAUAUUUGUUUAACCCUUUCACUGUGACAUGCAUUAAUUCACAGCGCUAGAAGGAAUGCGUGCAAUAUUUAUAAUGACUUAAAUGAAAGGAGGGGAUUGAAAAGAAUAGACAGCAAUUUCUGACUCGUGUAACAUUUGAGGUGGCUGUAGAAUACGAAAAGAUGUCAGUAAUGAAGGAGAGAUGUGCCAGAAAGCAGUGGAAGGGUUAAGCAAACAACUGCAGUCAUGCUAAGACCUUUUUGAAAUAGUCGCGCAAGUUUAUUUAAUAUCAUACUGUAGAGGCUUUUACUAAUGGAUUAAAUUUCACCUUUCUGUAUCACUUUACCUAACAUCCUCUCUCUCUCUCUCUCUCUCUCUCUCUCUCUCUCUCUCUCUCUCUCUCUCUCUCUCUCUCUCUCUCUCUCUCUCUCUCUCUCUCUCUCUCUCUCUUAGGUCAGCGUUGCUCCAUCAAUCAAUCAUUCACUAUGGUAUCAAUUAUUCCCCAAUUUUCUUCUGUCUAUUAUUUUUAAUUCAUACGAUAACAUUUAGCAACCUUUUAUUUUCUUCACCUGGGACGUGAAAACGCGAUACACUUUUCCCCCGCGUUGGAACGAGUGAGUAAAAGUUGAAGCGGCAAAGUAGAAGCGGCAAUAUUUCUCAUCGCUUCGUUCUGUUCUGCGUGGAGUGAUGAAAGGCAACGCAAGCUUCAGAAAAAAAAAAAAAAGAGGGAACGCUGCGAAACUCCCCUCAAGGUCUGCUGUGUCUUUUUUCCCUUUUUUUUCCCUAUCCAUGUUUAUUUGGUCGUUUAUUUCCUUUCAUAUAUUUUCACCGAGGAUCAACCUUUAUCUGUGCGCAUCUGUUCUUUCUUCCUGCCUUUAGAGUAUUGCUGUAAAUAAAUAGAAACUGGAAAAAGAAAACGGGGCAGUUGCUACAGACUAGAGCGAGGAGAAACUAUUCGAAAUUGAUAACGAAGAUAAAAAUGUACUGUUUUAUUGUGAAGUCCGUGCGAUUUUUAUAAUUAUUUCUAGACUAUUAUACGGUUAUCAAAUGCUAAUUAAAAGUGAUGUGACAGGACGUAUGCUAAUUCGUCUCGUCCAAGUGAAAUGAAUCAUGGUAUCAGUCAGGAUCGGAAUACAUUAUAUUUAUAUUAAUCUCCUUUUCCACAUUACCCGGAAGAGAGUUUGGC